GCUCCCGUGACGGAACUGGCAGACGUGCUGGAUCGAGCAUCCAGAUUUUGCAGGUUCGACUCCUGCCGGGAGUACCA
RNAcentral lists this transfer RNA (77 nucleotides) under Coleofasciculaceae cyanobacterium SM2_3_26. Its description in RNAcentral is "tRNA-Leu". It matches the Rfam family "tRNA". From Rfam's summary of the family: Transfer RNA (tRNA) molecules are approximately 80 nucleotides in length. The record is from RNAcentral. Lineage: Bacteria; Bacillati; Cyanobacteriota; Cyanophyceae; Coleofasciculales; Coleofasciculaceae.